This 620-nucleotide ribosomal RNA is filed under the name uncultured bacterium. Its description in RNAcentral is "bacterial SSU rRNA". It matches the Rfam family "Bacterial small subunit ribosomal RNA", at positions 140 to 747 of the family's 1533-position model. The record is from RNAcentral.
GGGAUAACAUUUGGAAACAAGUGCUAAUACCGUAUAAUACCAACAACCGCAUGGUUGUUGGUUGAAAGAUGGUUCUGCUAUCACUAAGAGAUGGACCCGCGGUGCAUUAGCUAGUUGGUAAGGUAACGGCUUACCAAGGCAAUGAUGCAUAGCCGAGUUGAGAGACUGAUCGGCCACAAUGGGACUGAGACACGGCCCAUACUCCUACGGGAGGCAGCAGUAGGGAAUCUUCCACAAUGGGCGCAAGCCUGAUGGAGCAACGCCGCGUGUGUGAUGAAGGGUUUCGGCUCGUAAAACACUGUUAUAAGAGAAGAACGGCACUGAGAGUAACUGUUCAGUGUGUGACGGUAUCUUACCAGAAAGGAACGGCUAAAUACGUGCCAGCAGCCGCGGUAAUACGUAUGUUCCAAGCGUUAUCCGGAUUUAUUGGGCGUAAAGCGAGCGCAGACGGUUAUUUAAGUCUGAAGUGAAAGCCCUCAGCUCAACUGAGGAAUGGCUUUGGAAACUGGAUGACUUGAGUGCAGUAGAGGAAAGUGGAACUCCAUGUGUAGCGGUGAAAUGCGUAGAUAUAUGGAAGAACACCAGUGGCGAAGGCGGCUUUCUGGACUGUAACUGACGUU